RNAcentral lists this ribosomal RNA (444 nucleotides) under uncultured bacterium. Its description in RNAcentral is "partial 16S ribosomal RNA". It matches the Rfam family "Bacterial small subunit ribosomal RNA", at positions 354 to 795 of the family's 1533-position model. The record is from RNAcentral.
GUAAGGAAUAUUGGACAAUGGACGCAAGUCUGAUCCAGCCAUGCCGCGUGAAGGAUUAAGGUCCUCUGGAUUGUAAACUUCUUUUAUAAGGGACGAAAAAAGGCUUUUCUAAGUCGUCUGACGGUACCUUAUGAAUAAGCACCGGCUAACUCCGUGCCAGCAGCCGCGGUAAUACGGAGGGUGCAAGCGUUAUCCGGAUUCACUGGGUUUAAAGGGUGCGUAGGCGGGCAGGUAAGUCAGUGGUGAAAUCCUAGAGCUUAACUCUAGAACUGCCAUUGAUACUAUCUGUCUUGAAUAUUGUGGAGGUAAGCGGAAUAUGUCAUGUAGCGGUGAAAUGCUUAGAUAUGACAUAGAACACCUAUUGCGAAGGCAGCUUACUACGCAUAUAUUGACGCUGAGGCACGAAAGCGUGGGGAUCAAACAGGAUUAGAUACCCCAGUAGCC